ACUCCUACGGGAGGCAGCAGUAGGGAAUCUUCCACAAUGGGCGCAAGCCUGAUGGAGCAACACCGCGUGAGUGAAGAAGGGUUUCGGCUCGUAAAGCUCUGUUGUUAAAGAAGAACACGUAUGAGAGUAACUGUUCAUACGUUGACGGUAUUUAACCAGAAAGUCACGGCUAACUACGUGCCAGCAGCCGCGGUAAUACGUAGGUGGCAAGCGUUAUCCGGAUUUAUUGGGCGUAAAGAGAGUGCAGGCGGUUUUCUAAGUCUGAUGUGAAAGCCUUCGGCUUAACCGGAGAAGUGCAUCGGAAACUGGAUAACUUGAGUGCAGAAGAGGUAGUGGAACUCCAUGUGUAGCGGUGGAAUGCGUAGAUAUAUGGAAGAACACCAGUGGCGAAGCGGCUACCUGGUCUGCAACUGACGCUGAGACUCGAAAGCAUGGUAGCGAACAGGAUUAGAUA
RNAcentral lists this ribosomal RNA (454 nucleotides) under uncultured bacterium. Its description in RNAcentral is "bacterial SSU rRNA". It matches the Rfam family "Bacterial small subunit ribosomal RNA", at positions 335 to 784 of the family's 1533-position model. The record is from RNAcentral.